UACGUAGGGGGCUAGCGUUGUCCGGAUUUAUUGGGCGUAAAGAGCGUGUAGGCGGCCGGGUAGGUCUGCUGUGAAAACUCGAGGCUUAACCUCGAGAUGUCGGCGGAAACCAUCUGGCUAGAGUCCGGAAGAGGAGAGUGGAAUUCCUGGUGUAGCGGUGAAAUGCGCAGAUAUCAGGAAGAACACCAGUGGCGAAGGCGGCUCUCUGGGACGGUACUGACGCUGAGACGCGAAAGCGUGGGGAGCGAACAGG
Molecule: ribosomal RNA, 253 nt
Filed under: uncultured bacterium
Lineage: Bacteria
Description: partial 16S ribosomal RNA
Rfam family: Bacterial small subunit ribosomal RNA
Source: RNAcentral